UCCCAUAGCUUGGGAUUAAAUGGGUCCACAUCAUAAACAUACUUUUUUUUUUUUUUUUUUUUAAUUGUGCUUGCAGUUUUAGAAAUUAAAGAAGCAACAAGAAAAACAAGUCAGUACUUCCUCAUACAGCAAGCUCUACAGGCUAAGUUUAGCCACAUGCUGUUGACUGUGGACUCUCUAUUACUGAGCUGCUGUGUCCAGACACCAGCUGUUCCAUCUGGACCCAAGCCACUUGCAGAUCCACUACACCCGUCACAGCUGGAGCCCUGCCUUGCAGCCUGAUGAUGUUGAUUUAGUUCUCUCACUCUGCCGUGAUGGGCCCGACUGCUGUGCAUCCCUUACUUAUGUUUGAUGCUUGAAAUGUUUAACUUUCUUUAAUCAUGCCCCAUAUAUUGACGUGCUUUUGUCAAAACAUAAGCCAAUAAUGUGACCUGUGAGAAUUUUAUUGAUGUCAAUAUAGACUAUAUUAUACAAUUGUAUUUAUUAUAUAAAAUCCUUUACUCAAAGGAG
This is a long non-coding RNA of Micropterus dolomieu (smallmouth bass), 510 nucleotides long. RefSeq lists it as uncharacterized. Lineage: Eukaryota; Metazoa; Chordata; Actinopteri; Centrarchiformes; Centrarchidae. The transcript is spliced from 2 exons. The record is from RefSeq and is a predicted model, not a curated record.